This 520-nucleotide ribosomal RNA is filed under the name uncultured bacterium. RNAcentral describes it as "bacterial SSU rRNA". It matches the Rfam family "Bacterial small subunit ribosomal RNA", at positions 8 to 518 of the family's 1533-position model. The record is from RNAcentral.
AGAGUUGAUCCUGGCUUAGGAUGAACGCUGGCGGCGUGCUUAACACAUGCAAGUCGAACGGAUCUGUCCGCUGUAAGAUGAAGUGCUUGCAUCGAUCUUGCUUGGGACAGGUUAGUGGCGGACGGGUGAGUAACGCGUGGGUAACCUGCCUGUAUCUGGGGGAUAACAGUUAGAAAUGACCGCUAAUACCGCAUAAGCGCACAGUACCGCAUGGUACCGUGUGAAAAAACUCCGGUGGAUACAGAUGGACCCGCGUUGGAUUAGCCGGUUGGUGGGGUAACGGCCUACCAAAGCAACGAUCCAUAGCCGGCCUGAGAGGGCGACCGGCCACAUUGGGACUGAGACACGGCCCAAACUCCUACGGGAGGCAGCAGUGGGGAAUAUUGCACAAUGGGGGAAACCCUGAUGCAGCGACGCCGCGUGAGCGAAGAAGUAUUUCGGUAUGUAAAGCUCUAUCAGCAGGGAAGAAAAUGACGGUACCUGACUAAGAAGCCCCGGCUAACUACGUGCCAGCAGCCGC